GCCUGUGCCCUGGUCAUUGAUAGUGCAGGGAGAGGACUUGCGGAAAGCACUUCCCCAUGUUUGGAGGGUCCACCCCAUCCCUUCUGAACCCUGGAGCUUUCCCACA
Small nucleolar RNA from Hyaena hyaena (striped hyena), 106 nucleotides. RefSeq annotates it as small nucleolar RNA SNORA71. The record is from RefSeq and is a predicted model, not a curated record. NCBI's taxonomy places the organism in Eukaryota, Metazoa, Chordata, Mammalia, Carnivora, Hyaenidae. The transcript has a single exon.